RNAcentral lists this transfer RNA (110 nucleotides) under Daphnia pulex (common water flea). It matches the Rfam family "tRNA". Rfam says of the family: Transfer RNA (tRNA) molecules are approximately 80 nucleotides in length. Their secondary structure includes four short double-helical elements and three loops (D, anti-codon, and T loops). Lineage: Eukaryota; Metazoa; Arthropoda; Branchiopoda; Diplostraca; Daphniidae. The record is from Rfam by way of RNAcentral.
UCUCCAGUGGCGCAGUUGGUUAGCGCAUGGUACUUAUAAGACAGUAAUGAAAAACGCUAGCAAAAAAGGUAGCAAUGCCGAGGUCGCGAGUUCGAGCCUCGCCUGGAGAA